Molecule: ribosomal RNA, 497 nt
Filed under: uncultured bacterium
Lineage: Bacteria
Description: partial 16S ribosomal RNA
Rfam family: Bacterial small subunit ribosomal RNA
Source: RNAcentral
GAUGAACGCUGGCGGCGUGCCUAAUACAUGCAAGUCGAGCGAACGGACGAGAAGCUUGCUUCUCUGAUGUUAGCGGCGGACGGGUGAGUAACACGUGGAUAACCUACCUAUAAGACUGGGAUAACUUCGGGAAACCGGAGCUAAUACCGGAUGAUAUUUUGAACCGCAUGGUUCAAAAGUGAAAGACGGUCUUGCUGUCACUUAUAGAUGGAUCCGCGCUGCAUUAGCUAGUUGGUAAGGUAACGGCUUACCAAGGCAACGAUGCAUAGCCGACCUGAGAGGGUGAUCGGCCACCCUGGCACUGAGACACGGUCCCGACUCCUACGGGAGGCAGCAGUAGGGAAUCUUCCGCAAUGGGCGAAAGCCUGACGGAGCAACGCCGCGUGAGUGAUGAAGGUCUUCGGAUCGUAAAACUCUGUUAUUAGGGAAGAACAUAUGUGUAAGUAACUGUGCACAUCUUGACGGUACCUAAUCAGAAAGCCACGGCUAACUACGUG